AGAGAUGUGUGAUGACGCAUAUCAAUAAGCGGAGGAAAAGAAACUAACUAGGAUUCCCUUAGUAACGGCGAGUGAAGCGGGAAGAGCUCAAAUUUGAAAUCUUCAAGGUUCUACCUUGACGAAUUGUAGUUUAUAGAAGUGUUUUCUGUUAGUAGGAGUGGCAAAAGUUCUUUGGAAUAGGACAUCAUAGAGGGUGAGAAUCCCGUAUUUGGGUCAUUCCUUCCUAGCGUUGUGAUACACUUUCAACGAGUCGGAUUGUUUGGGAAUGCAGUCCAAAAUGGGUGGUAAAUUUCAUCUAAAGCUAAAUAUUGGCGAGAGACCGAUAGCGAACAAGUACCGUGAGGGAAAGAUGAAAAGAACUUUGAAAAGAGAGUUAAACAGUACGUGAAAUUGUCAAAAGGGAAGCGUUUGACACCAGUGUUGUUUUUCCGAAAAUCAAUUACGAAUGUUUUGUUUUUGAGAAGUUAUGACUUCAUCGGCUUGCUUCUCUCUUUACGAAACUUUCUUAAUGCACUUUUCGGUUAACAAGUCAACAUCAAUUUCUUUUGUUGUAAAGGGUAUGAGGAAGGAGGCUUUCUUUUCGGAGAAAGUGUUUAUAGCCUUGUACCUCUGCAAUCGGAGAGAUUGAGGUCUGCAGCGUAGAUCCUUCGGGGUUAGAUACAUUUGUGCUAAGUUAUAGCUUUUCAUAGACAACUUGUUGACUAUGUUAAGUCUUGUAGCUUACUCGCUUAUGCUACUUUACCUACGCUUAGGAUGUUGAAGAUGUAGCACAUCA
This 775-nucleotide ribosomal RNA is filed under the name uncultured Neocallimastigales. RNAcentral's name for it is "partial large subunit ribosomal RNA". It matches the Rfam family "Eukaryotic large subunit ribosomal RNA", at positions 23 to 642 of the family's 3401-position model. The record is from RNAcentral. Lineage: Eukaryota; Fungi; Neocallimastigomycota; Neocallimastigomycetes; Neocallimastigales.